This 500-nucleotide ribosomal RNA is filed under the name uncultured bacterium. RNAcentral's name for it is "bacterial SSU rRNA". It matches the Rfam family "Bacterial small subunit ribosomal RNA", at positions 29 to 524 of the family's 1533-position model. The record is from RNAcentral.
AUUGAACGCUGGCGGCGUGCCUAACACAUGCAGGUCGAGCGGUAACAGGUGUAGCAAUACAUGCUGACGAGCGGCGGACGGGUGAGUAACGCUUGGGAAUCUGCCUGUUAGUGGGGGACAACCCGGGGAAACUCGGGCUAAUACCGCAUACGCACUACGGUGGAAAGCCGGGGACCGCAAGGCCUGGCGCUAACAGAUGAGCCCAAGUCGGAUUAGCUAGUUGGUAGGGUAACGGCCACCAAGGCGAUGAUCCGUAACUGGUCUGAGAGGACGACCAGUCACACCGGAACUGAGACACGGUCCGGACUCCUACGGGAGGCAGCAGUGGGGAAUAUUGGACAAUGGGCGAAAGCCUGAUCCAGCGACGCCGCGUGGGUGAAGAAGGCCUGCGGGUUGUAAAGCCCUUUCGGUGGGAAGAAAGCCUCGAGUUAACACCUCGGGGUCUUGACGUAACCCAUAGAAGAAGCACCGGCUAACUCUGUGCCAGCCGCCGCGGUAAG